This 30-nucleotide small RNA is filed under the name Bombyx mori (domestic silkworm). RNAcentral's name for it is "piRNA piR-bmo-1273563". Lineage: Eukaryota; Metazoa; Arthropoda; Insecta; Lepidoptera; Bombycidae. The record is from RNAcentral.
UCCAUGUCAAUAUCGGCGGCUGCCUUAAUC